Micropterus salmoides (largemouth bass) is the source of this 293-nucleotide long non-coding RNA. RefSeq lists it as uncharacterized. Lineage: Eukaryota; Metazoa; Chordata; Actinopteri; Centrarchiformes; Centrarchidae. The transcript has 2 exons. The record is from RefSeq and is a predicted model, not a curated record.
AUAAGAUCAGCAGCACAAAAAGCAAGUAACGUUAUAACUGCAGCAGAUAGAAAACGACUUCAUAUGUUUUUCUGUCGAAGAGGCUGACAUAUGAAACCAUCGGAGACUGACUUUAAGGAGCGAGCAAGCCAGUUAUCCACAAAGGAUCCAAAUAUCAAGAGCAGCACCAGGCUUGUGUCUCAAGAGCUGGUCUCAUCUGGGGCCUAUGACCUGGUCUGCUUCUGACAUUCCUCAACAAAAAACCUCACUUACCCUCUCCCUGUAGAUAAUGUAUAAUAAAGUGUUUAAACUGA